Argiope bruennichi is the source of this 414-nucleotide long non-coding RNA. RefSeq lists it as uncharacterized. The record is from RefSeq and is a predicted model, not a curated record. The transcript is spliced from 3 exons. NCBI's taxonomy places the organism in Eukaryota, Metazoa, Arthropoda, Arachnida, Araneae, Araneidae.
GUUGAUUGAAUCAUAGUUAAAAAAAAUUGAUGAAAUUUAGUUCCUAUCAAUUUUUUCUCGUUGUUGUGUUGGAGGAAUUUAACUUCUUAUGGUGCAUAAUUUUUUUUUCCAGUAUUUGAUCCCAGAAUGCCAGAAAAGAUGUUAAUGGAGAAAUUUUUGAUCCUUUCGUUAGAAGGUGAAACUUUCAAACACUUAUUGACAUGGGUCAACAGAGACGAAGGGAUCUUCAAAAUGUUCUGGCAACACAAAUUCCUCGAACUGGAAGGUAGUUUUCCAAGUCUUCAAAGAAUAAUCACUGUCCUGAAGAUUUCACUGUUCAAUGUAAAGAUUAAGAAUUGUCACCGUUUGCAUUUCCAUCAUCUAUUUGUAGAAUUUAUUUUGGCAUUACUAAAAUUUUCUACCAUUAUUGCUGUG